UUCACAGUGAGGAAGAUGUGAUCAUGUGGCUCAAAUCAAAAGUGGAUACCAGCAAGACCUUUGAGCUCUGUCUGUCUCGAGAUAUUAUGCUUGAAAGAGGUCUGAAGUCAUGGAAGCGCAACAAAAAGGCUACACCAAUUAAUCCUUUGCGGAUCAAAUUCCUUGGAGAGGUGGGGAUUGAUACAGGGGCCCUUAGAAAAGAGUUUCUGACCACAAUGGUAUCUGCGUUGAGCAACGCCUUUUUGAAGGUGGGAAGUCCAAAAUGCCCAAAUAUUCUGUGAAUGACUUUGAUGAGAGCUCUUCAGGAUUGCGGGUGAAAUCUUUGCUACAAGCAUUGCCCAAGGUGGACCUGCACCACGUUUCCUCCAGCGGUGCUGCUACAACUUUCUAGUAUAUGGAAAGCUCUCAUUGGAUCACGUCCUGGACCCGAGCUUAUCACCGCUAAUAACAACAGUUGCAGAGGCGUCCGACAUGACUACAUUGCAGACAUUAUGGAUUGUGGCUAUACUGGCAAGAUCGACAUGGAACACAAAAAGAACAUUCUAAGAGCAGUCGGUCUGCAUGUCAUGAUGAAAAGAAUGUCCAUGCUUCAGCAACUCCGUGAGGGCUUGGACCUCUACGGCUUCUCCCAAGUGAUGCAGGCAAAGACGGAAGAGUGCCGCAGUCUGUCGCCGGAGAUGAGGAGUCGGUGGACUCUCAUUACAUCACUUCCCAUCUGGCGCCGGAGAUGAGCGAAAGGGGCUGCAACAAGCACCACAAGGAGACCCAGAUCCUUGAACACUUUCAAGACUUCCUGCACGAGUUGGAAGUUGCUGAACCAGAUGCCACGUCUGAAGACAUCACAACUGUACCCUCAGUGAUGCAGUGGAUUACGGGUCAAGCCCACAGAAAUCUUCUUCUUUCUGAUUGCCAGAACUUCAAGAUCACAGUGAAGUUUGACCAUGACUGUCACAAGAUGCCUAAGCACACAAUCUGUUAUCCAACAGUCAGCGCUUGCACAGACACCAUAACAUUCCCUGUUGCACACGUCAGACUAUGGGUCUUUCAAAAACGUCAUGUCAACAGCCAUUAAAUAUGGUGCAGGAUUUGAUAGAGCGUGAUGCAUUGUGUUUCAUGUAAGCCCACAUGUUAUAUCCUCGAAUAUGUCCGGAUUCUACAGGUGAGCUGUGAACUAGCAUGGUCUUAACAUACUGUUCAGGGUAAAAUCUGACCAAUUUUAACAUUUGUGAGGGUUAAUCUAUUGUGUUUUUAGUUGUCAUAUUGUAAGACACCCACGUUGCUUUUUUUUUGAAAACUUUCAUUCACCAAUGUUAAUUAACAAGAGACAAAAUUGUGACAUCAGCACACCUUGAGGAUUUUUUGGAAAUCUGUUCUUGGUGAUUUACAGUUUAAUGUAUUCUUCCAGAUAUUCAUCUGUUCGAUGAAGUCUUUUAUUAUUCCUAGACUUUUGGUAGAUUUUAAAGAUCAUUAUAGUUGAUGCUACUGUGUGAGUGAGGUUCGAGUAAUGUAGUUGACAGCACAUUUUCUGUUCUCGUGCAAGGCUGUCCUCAGACAUUCAUGUAAAAGGACAUUUUAUGUUUUCAAGGACUAUAAACCACAA
Molecule: long non-coding RNA, 1600 nt
Organism: Micropterus dolomieu (smallmouth bass)
Lineage: Eukaryota; Metazoa; Chordata; Actinopteri; Centrarchiformes; Centrarchidae
Exons: 7
Source: RefSeq, a predicted model, not a curated record